GUAUCAAAGCUCAAAGAUGCUAUUCCUAAACCAAACUCCAAUACAUACUUCAAAAUGAAGUCUUAUAUGUUAUCAGCAAUCAUGUUGGGGUAUAGGAUUCUCAAGGUGAUGUGGAUUCCUAACAGUGUAUUAUACUAACAAAAAGGAACAAACUCUCGUAAAACUAAAGGAAGACCCACAUGACCUCAUAUAAAGCAGGUCCAUGCUUCACUGCUUCUUUUAAACCCCUCCUCAUCUUGCAAACUCUAGCUAAUAAAUACAGC
RNAcentral lists this long non-coding RNA (263 nucleotides) under Elaeis guineensis (African oil palm). RNAcentral's name for it is "long non-coding RNA (EGUI_LNC026229)". Lineage: Eukaryota; Viridiplantae; Streptophyta; Magnoliopsida; Arecales; Arecaceae. The record is from RNAcentral.